RNAcentral lists this ribosomal RNA (266 nucleotides) under uncultured Sphingobacteriales bacterium. RNAcentral describes it as "partial 16S ribosomal RNA". It matches the Rfam family "Bacterial small subunit ribosomal RNA", at positions 1118 to 1382 of the family's 1533-position model. The record is from RNAcentral. Lineage: Bacteria; Pseudomonadati; Bacteroidota; Sphingobacteriia; Sphingobacteriales.
CCAUCAGGUUAAGCUGGGGACGUCUAAAGGAACUGCCUACGCAAGUAGUGAGGAAGCGGGGAGUGACGUCAAAUCAGCACGGCCCUUACGUCCAGGGCUACACACGUGCUACAAUGGCCGAUACAGAGGGCAGCUACCUGGUGACAGGAUGCAAAUCUCCAAAGUCGGUCUCAGUUCGGAUCGGAGUCUGCAACCCGACUCCGUGAAGUUGGAUUCGCUAGUAAUCGCGCAUCAGCCAUGGCGCGGUGAAUACGUUCCCGGGCCUU